This 449-nucleotide ribosomal RNA is filed under the name uncultured bacterium. RNAcentral's name for it is "bacterial SSU rRNA". It matches the Rfam family "Bacterial small subunit ribosomal RNA", at positions 56 to 502 of the family's 1533-position model. The record is from RNAcentral.
UGCAGUCGAACGGCAGCGGGGGCUUCGGCCCCCGGCGAGUGGCGAACGGGUGAGUAAUGCAUCGGAACGUACCCAGUCGUGGGGGAUAACUACGCGAAAGCGUGGCUAAUACCGCAUACGCCCUGAGGGGGAAAGCGGGGGACCUUCGGGCCUCGCGCGAUUGGAGCGGCUGAUGUCGGAUUAGCUAGUUGGUGGGGUAAAGGCCUACCAAGGCGACGAUCCGUAGCUGGUCUGAGAGGAUGAUCAGCCACACUGGGACUGAGACACGGCCCAGACUCCUACGGGAGGCAGCAGUGGGGAAUUUUGGACAAUGGGGGCAACCCUGAUCCAGCCAUGCCGCGUGAGUGAAGAAGGCCUUCGGGUUGUAAAGCUCUUUCAGACGGAAAGAAAUCGGGUGCGUGAAUAGCGCGCCUGGAUGACGGUACUGUCAGAAGAAGCACCGGCUAACU